This 66-nucleotide transfer RNA is filed under the name Pleurobranchaea sp. TY-2016. RNAcentral describes it as "tRNA-Trp". It matches the Rfam family "tRNA". Rfam says of the family: Transfer RNA (tRNA) molecules are approximately 80 nucleotides in length. Their secondary structure includes four short double-helical elements and three loops (D, anti-codon, and T loops). The record is from RNAcentral. Lineage: Eukaryota; Metazoa; Mollusca; Gastropoda; Pleurobranchida; Pleurobranchidae.
GAAGUUAUAGGUUAAAUGUGUAAACCACAGGCCUUCAAAGCCUGAAAUGAGAGCGUCUGACUUUGU